GGAAGGUCAAAUGAGAUAAUAUAUGCAAAAGCACUCUGUCAGUGAAAAGUGCUCUGUUUCUGGUCUAAUAACCCUCCCCAACCCACUCACAGUUCUUCAUUUUCAAAUUCCUUAGUGAGCAGUUGGUUUCGUUGUCUUGAUUUGGGGCAGUAAUGAUUUCUGAGAAGCAGGCUUUCUUCCAUCAAAUAUUUGUGGAGCUGGAACUGGGCUUCACUAUCAUAUUCCAAGGCCCUGUACUGGGAACAGACGAAGAAGCUCCUCCCAGAGACUGGAAGAAUGGUACAAGGUGAGUGGACAGGGAGGUCAGCCGCAACCUGUUAUUCUUUCACAUGGAAAUCUGAAAUAGUGGGAACAUUCUCUUAUUUAUUUUCAGUUAUUCUAAAUGUAGACCUCUGUGUGGAGGUGAGAUAAGAUGGAAAGAUGAGGGGAUGAGGAGGAAAAUGGUAACAGAAAAUCAUGAUUAGUGACUUUUUCUCCUGGAAAAUCACUCUGUUGGUUUAUCUAGCUUAGCCUUGGGGUCUUUCAAAAGUUGAAUCUAGAUCCUUAAGUCCAGUGCCUUUCAGAAUUUCC
Pan paniscus (pygmy chimpanzee) is the source of this 570-nucleotide long non-coding RNA. The record is from Ensembl. Lineage: Eukaryota; Metazoa; Chordata; Mammalia; Primates; Hominidae.